Molecule: long non-coding RNA, 331 nt
Filed under: Elaeis guineensis (African oil palm)
Lineage: Eukaryota; Viridiplantae; Streptophyta; Magnoliopsida; Arecales; Arecaceae
Description: long non-coding RNA (EGUI_LNC076522)
Source: RNAcentral
AUGACUUUGCUCUGAAUCUAAAUUCCUUUCGAACUUUGCAUGUCUUUCCCUUUUGGUAUGGAUCUGUCACGAUUGAGGAUGACCCCUUCGAACAAUUAACACAAGGUCAUGUUAGGAACAGGAGGGGAACCUCAUCCUAACAUGAGCCAAAUGAAAUUUCGAUUAUUGUAAGAUCGGAUCGGGGGAAGGCCCGUUUAACGGCUCUCGAAUGCCCCUUGAACCAUGUUAGGGACAGGAGGAGAACCUCGCCCUAACAUGAGCAAAGUCAAAGGCCCGGUUCUUUUAGACCGGAUGGGGGGAGAGGCCCUACAAUGCCCUAAUGUGCCCCCAC